UACGUAGGGUGCAAGCGUUGUCCGGAAUUAUUGGGCGUAAAGAGCUCGUAGGCGGCUUGUCACGUCUGCUGUGAAAACUCGGGCUCAACCCGACUCGCAGUGGAUACGGGCUAGCUAGAGGUGCGGUAGGGAGACUGGAAUUCCUGGUGUAGCGGUGAAAUGCGCAGAUAUCAGGAGGAACACCGGUGCGGAGGCGGUCUCUGGACCGAUACUGACGCUGAGGAGCGAAAGCGUGGGGAGCGAACAGG
This 248-nucleotide ribosomal RNA is filed under the name uncultured bacterium. RNAcentral's name for it is "partial 16S ribosomal RNA". It matches the Rfam family "Bacterial small subunit ribosomal RNA", at positions 524 to 776 of the family's 1533-position model. The record is from RNAcentral.